AUGUGUCAAAUUAAACAUAAGUCGGCAGGAAAUCAGUAUUGUAACUAUCAGUACUUAGCUUUAAUUUACUAGGUUAAAUCAGUCAUUUAAAAUUAGCGAAUCACUAGCUUAAGUUUAACUUCGGGGGGUGACGGAGAUAUAUUCGACGACGCUGUUAUUAAAUUAAUUUCAUUUUUGAAUUGUAUUUCUGACAUAUAUCUUUGGUGAUUCUAUCCAUUUAACUUCAGCUGUUAAUCACGACUAGAUUACGUGAAUAGCAUUGAAAUAUA
RNAcentral lists this unclassified non-coding RNA (269 nucleotides) under Moritella viscosa. RNAcentral describes it as "putative sRNA". Lineage: Bacteria; Pseudomonadati; Pseudomonadota; Gammaproteobacteria; Alteromonadales; Moritellaceae. The record is from RNAcentral.